AUGAGGGGCGCCGGGUGGAGGGCGCGGAACAGGCGGCGGAAGGAUGAGGAAGAGCGGAUGGCUCCGAGCCAGGAGCGGCAGGUGAGCGCCGCACGGAUGAGAGCCGGGAGGUUCGGGAGGCGGAGGAAGAUCUCGCGAAGGUCAUCAUCACAGAGGGAUGAUAUGGUUGUGGCGUUGGAGGUGGUUGUGAUGGUUGUUGUUGUUGUGGUGGUGGUGGUGGUUGUGGUGGUGGUGGUAGUGGUGCCAUCGGCGGCAGAGGAGGAGCAUGUGGUGGUGGUGAUUGUUGUGAUGGUUCUGGUGGUGGUUCCGUUGCCGGUGGUAGUGGUGGUAGUGGUCGUGGAUGGGAUCAACGGAGGCUCCACCGGUGCCGCAAGCGUUGCUGUGAGCAGUUCACUGCCCAUUGCUUGA
Molecule: ribosomal RNA, 408 nt
Filed under: Triticum aestivum (bread wheat)
Lineage: Eukaryota; Viridiplantae; Streptophyta; Magnoliopsida; Poales; Poaceae
Description: partial small subunit ribosomal RNA
Source: RNAcentral